UACAGAGGUCCCGAGCGUUGUUCGGAUUCAUUGGGCGUAAAGGGUGUGUAGGAGGUUAGGUAAGUCGGAUGUGAAAUCUCACCGCUUAACGGUGAAAUGGCAUUCGAAACUGCCUGGCUAGAGGAUCGGAGGGGAGAGCGGAAUUCUUGGUGUAGCAGUGAAAUGCGUAGAUAUCAAGAGGAACACCGGUGGCGAAGGCGGCUCUCUGGAAGAUUCCUGACUCUGAAACACGAAAGCUAGGGGAGCAAAC
Molecule: ribosomal RNA, 250 nt
Filed under: uncultured bacterium
Lineage: Bacteria
Description: partial 16S ribosomal RNA
Rfam family: Bacterial small subunit ribosomal RNA
Source: RNAcentral